UUGACCUCGGAUCAGGUGAGGAUACCC
Molecule: ribosomal RNA, 27 nt
Filed under: Peltigera rufescens
Lineage: Eukaryota; Fungi; Ascomycota; Lecanoromycetes; Peltigerales; Peltigeraceae
Description: partial 28S large subunit ribosomal RNA
Source: RNAcentral